RNAcentral lists this ribosomal RNA (253 nucleotides) under uncultured bacterium. RNAcentral describes it as "partial 16S ribosomal RNA". It matches the Rfam family "Bacterial small subunit ribosomal RNA", at positions 524 to 776 of the family's 1533-position model. The record is from RNAcentral.
UACGUAGGGUGCUAGCGUUGUCCGGAAUUAUUGGGCGUAAAGGGCUCGUAGGCGGUUUGUCGCGUCGGGGGUGAAAACUCAGGGCUUAACCCUGAGCCUGCUUCCGAUACGGGCAGACUAGAGGUAUGCAGGGGAGAACGGAAUUCCUGGUGUAGCGGUGAAAUGCGCAGAUAUCAGGAGGAACACCGGUGGCGAAGGCGGGUCUCUGGGCCGAUACUGACGCUGAGGAGCGAAAGCGUGGGGAGCGAACAGG